UGGGAAAUCUUGGCUGUAGUGUAUUGCUCCUGUCAUCGUUUACGGUGAAAAUGUAGAUGAUGUCAAUUCUAGUGUAGAAUGAGGAGAAGAAAAAACUGUAGAAAAUAAAUUCUAAAUGGUGUGGCCAUAAAUAACCCAAAACAUGGCCAGUAAUCAGGUGGAGUACCAAUGGGCCUACACUGUAAUGGACUCAUCAAGGGUAUCCACCUACUUGAUAUCGAUUUUGCUUAUUGUUUAUGGUAGUUUUCGAUCACUCAACAUGGAGCAAGAGGC
Molecule: long non-coding RNA, 273 nt
Organism: Copidosoma floridanum
Lineage: Eukaryota; Metazoa; Arthropoda; Insecta; Hymenoptera; Encyrtidae
Source: RefSeq, a predicted model, not a curated record